UCCCGGCUAACUACGUGCCAGCAGCCCCGGUAAAACGUAGGGGGCGAGCGUUAUCCGGAUUUACUGGGCGUAAAGCGCACGUAGGCGGCAUCGUAAGUUGGACGUGAAAGCUCCCGGCUCAACUGGGAGAGGUCGUUCAAAACUGUGGUGCUUGAGGUUGAUAGAGGAGAGUGGAAUUCCCGGUGUAGUGGUGGAAUGCGUAGAUAUCGGGAGGAACACCAGUGGCGAAGGCGGCUCUCUAGGUCACACCUGACGCUGAGGUGCGAAAGCGUGGGGAGCGAACGGGAUUAGAUACCCCGGUAGUCCACGCUGUAAACGAUGGAUACUAGGUGUGGGAGGUUAUUUACCCCUUCCGUGCCGUAGCUAACGCGUUAAGUAUCCCGCCUGGGGACUACGGCCGCAAGGUUAAAACUCAAAGGAAUUGACGGGGGCCCGCACAAGCAGCGGAGCGUGUGGUUUAACUCGAUGAUACGCGAAGAACCUUACCUGGGCUUGACAUGGUGGUAGUAGUGAAGCGAAAGCGGAACGACCCUUCGGGGAGCCAUCACAGGUGCUGCAUGGCUGUCGUCAGCUCGUGUCGUGAGAUGUUGGGUUAAGUCCCGCAACGAGCGCAACCCUCGUCGCUAGUUAUAUGUGUCUAGUGAGACUGCCGGUAUCAAACCGGAGGAAGGUGGGGAUGACGUCAAGUCAGCAUGGUCUUUAUGUCCAGGGCUACACACACGCUACAAUGGCCGGUACAAUGGGUUGCCAUACCGCGAGGUGGAGCUAAUCCUCAAAGCCGGUCUCAGUUCGGAUUGCAGUCUGCAACUCGACUGCAUGAAGGUGGAGUUGCUAGUAACCGCGCGUCAGCAAUAGUGCGGUGAAUGCGUUCCCGGGCCUUGUACACACCGCCCGUCACAUCAUGGGAGUCGGCAACACCUGAAGUCGGUGACCAAACCGAAAGGUAGGACUGCCUAAGGUGGGGCCGCUAACUGGGAUGAAGUCGUAA
Molecule: ribosomal RNA, 988 nt
Filed under: uncultured organism
Description: bacterial SSU rRNA
Rfam family: Bacterial small subunit ribosomal RNA
Source: RNAcentral